RNAcentral lists this long non-coding RNA (258 nucleotides) under Ricinus communis (castor bean). RNAcentral describes it as "long non-coding RNA (RCOM_LNC000854)". Lineage: Eukaryota; Viridiplantae; Streptophyta; Magnoliopsida; Malpighiales; Euphorbiaceae. The record is from RNAcentral.
UCAACACUAUGUCGUUCAUAUAAGGCCCACACUCCUUUGUGCAUUUUUUUCCAUUACUUUUGUGCUUCCGUCUUAGUAACACAUCAAAUCUAGACAUCUGAAGCCAUUCUUUUGUAUUGCACUCUAAUAUUCUUGAUAGUACGUAUGUUUGCAUUCUUAAUUUUGAGUUAUUUUUAGAGCAAUUUAUGUGUUUUUAUAUUAAAAUCAUCUUGUUUUAGUUUCCUUUGUGUCUCAGGUGUUUUUCUAGGUACAUCAUCA